AGCAGCCGCGGUAAUUCCAGCUCCAAUAGCGUAUAUUAAAGUUGUUGCAGUUAAAAAGCUCGUAGUUGAAUUUCGGGGUCAGUAGGUCGGUCGUGCCACUGGUAUGAACUGGUUUUACUGAUUCCUCCCUCUUGAAGAACUGUAAUGCCAUUAAUUUGGUGUUGCAGGGAAUCAGGACUGUUACUUUGAAAAAUUAGAGUGUUUAAAGCAGGCUUUAGCUUGAAUACAUUAGCAUAGAAUAAUGAAAUAGGACGUUUGAUCCUAUUUUGUUGGUUUCUAGGAUUGACGUAAUGAUUAAUAGGGAUAGUUGGGGGCAUUAGUAUUCAAUUGUCAGAGGUGAAAUUCUUGGAUUUAUUGAAGACUAACUACUGCGAAAGCAUUUUUGCCAAGGAUGUUUUCUAUUAAUCAAGAACGAAGUUAGGGGAUCGAAGACGAUCAGAUACCGUCGUAGUCUUAACCAUAAACUAU
This 468-nucleotide ribosomal RNA is filed under the name uncultured Glomus. RNAcentral describes it as "SSU rRNA". It matches the Rfam family "Eukaryotic small subunit ribosomal RNA", at positions 569 to 1040 of the family's 1831-position model. The record is from RNAcentral. Lineage: Eukaryota; Fungi; Glomeromycota; Glomeromycetes; Glomerales; Glomeraceae.